ACCAGACUCCUACGGGAGGCAGCAGUGGGGAAUAUUGGACAAUGGGGGGAACCCUGAUCCAGCGACGCCGCGUGAGUGAAGAAGUAUUUCGGUAUGUAAAGCUCUAUCAGCAGGGAAGAAGAAAUGACGGUACCUGACUAAGAAGCCCCGGCUAACUACGUGCCAGCAGCCGCGGUAAUACGUAGGGGGCAAGCGUUAUCCGGAUUUACUGGGUGUAAAGGGAGCGUAGGCGGUUCAGCAAGUCAGAAGUGAAAGCCCGGGGCUCAACUCCGGGACUGCUUUUGAAACUGUUGAACUAGAUUGCAGGAGAGGUAAGUGGAAUUCCUAGUGUAGCGGUGAAAUGCGUAGAUAUUAGGAGGAACACCAGUGGCGAAGGCGGAUUACUGGACGAUAACUGACGGUGAGGCGCGAAAGCGUGGGGAGCAAACAGGAUUAGAUACCCCCGUAAG
RNAcentral lists this ribosomal RNA (449 nucleotides) under uncultured bacterium. RNAcentral's name for it is "bacterial SSU rRNA". It matches the Rfam family "Bacterial small subunit ribosomal RNA", at positions 330 to 793 of the family's 1533-position model. The record is from RNAcentral.